UAUUUUUGAACGCCUCUCGACGGCACUCACACUCCGAAGAAGGGGAACAAAAUCGCCCCCCCAAAAGAAAAACGCGAGAAAGAAAGAGGGCCAACAAACACAUCUAAAAAUCGAAGAAUUAUCAUGAAAUUAGUGUGGAAGAAUCAGACCAAGAGGGAGGGGGGAGGGAAGAAGCGAUCUCGAUCGCAAUCCAUCUAUUUAAAUCCCAAUCUCCCAUUCGGAGCCGAGGAAGAUGAAGGAGGAGGAGAUGCAAGGAAUUCCGAUGGCUCGAAAACCGUAGCUGUCGAUUCAAGAGAAGACGACCCGAGGAAGCUCGUCGAAUCCUUCCAAUCUCAAGGGAAUCAGCUCGCCGAGAAUGGAAGGUAUCGUGAAGCUCUUGGGAAGUGGGAGGCUGCACUUACCCUGAUGCCUGAAAAUGCAAUACUGCAUGAACAAAAGGCACAGGUUUUACUUGAGAUAGGUGAUGCAUGGAAUGCCUUGAAAGCUGCAACACGAGCUACAGAAUUGGAACCCUCAUGGCUUGAGGUCUGUUGAUAACACUAUGUCAUCUUAAGAAGCGUUGGAUUACACUUGGUAGAGCACAGUUGAACUUUGGUGAACCUGAUUCUUCGGUGGAGAGCUUUGACAGGGCUUUAGCAAUUAAGCCCGAUUGUGAGGAAGCACGGAUUGAUCGAGAAACUGCUUUACAUUUGAUGAGGAAGCGAAAACAACUACACUCAUCAGGCUUGAGUACUGCUGAUACUCGUUUUAAGGUUGGAGAUAACGCAGAACAUUCCUGAGACUUUUCAGUUGUAGAUAUGUUGUAUAAUUUGAGCUUAGUAGAGGGUCAAGUAUUUGACUGUUUAUGAACAAAUAUAUUCUGCAAACUUGGUUAAUUAAACCUCAGUUAGUUUAAGCUGCUAUAACUGUUUCUGAAAAGUUUGUGCUGAGAGACAGAACACUGCACCCACUUUAAGUGCAUGGAUGUAACAUUAGCAUUGUGAUCAAGGGAGUAAUAUAAUAAUAUUUUAAUAA
This is a non-coding RNA of Elaeis guineensis (African oil palm), 1014 nucleotides long. The record is from RefSeq and is a predicted model, not a curated record. NCBI's taxonomy places the organism in Eukaryota, Viridiplantae, Streptophyta, Magnoliopsida, Arecales, Arecaceae.